RNAcentral lists this transfer RNA (62 nucleotides) under Chaetocnema arida. RNAcentral's name for it is "tRNA-Val". The record is from RNAcentral. Lineage: Eukaryota; Metazoa; Arthropoda; Insecta; Coleoptera; Chrysomelidae.
CAAAUUAGAGCUUGAUUAAGCAUUUUAGUUACAUUAAAAAGAUAGUUUUAAACUUAAUUUGA